GGGGGCGACAGGCUUCGACGGGGAUCGCGAGGUUGAAAGUUGCAUGCCGAGGUGCCGUGGGGCUCGUUAAACACGCGGCAAAACACAACUGCCAAUAACGAACUGGCAAUCGCUGCUUAACUAAGUAGCGCGUCUCCCGGCUGCCGCCUGAGCGGCUGAAGAGAUGUCAAAAUUCGGGCUGGUCUUUCCGCUAUGUCCGGGGCGGAAGGAUGAGAAAAACCGGGCUGGCUGAUCCCGGAGCUUUCCCUGAGGCGCCGGAGGAUGCGAGAGCUGUAAACGAGGGGAUAAGCAUGUAUGAGCUUUCAGCUGAUGGUUUUCGGACGCGGGUUCAAUUCCCGCCGCCUCCACCA
RNAcentral lists this transfer-messenger RNA (350 nucleotides) under Nitrospirota bacterium. It matches the Rfam family "transfer-messenger RNA". From Rfam's summary of the family: Bacterial tmRNA, also known as 10Sa RNA or SsrA, is named for its dual tRNA and mRNA-like properties. Its role is to liberate the mRNA from a stalled ribosome. To accomplish this part of the tmRNA is used as a reading frame that ends in a translation stop signal. Lineage: Bacteria; Pseudomonadati; Nitrospirota. The record is from RNAcentral.